This 129-nucleotide signal recognition particle RNA is filed under the name Myotis brandtii (Brandt's bat). RNAcentral's name for it is "Metazoan signal recognition particle RNA". It matches the Rfam family "Metazoan signal recognition particle RNA", at positions 109 to 242 of the family's 299-position model. Rfam says of the family: The signal recognition particle (SRP) is a universally conserved ribonucleoprotein. It is involved in the co-translational targeting of proteins to membranes. The eukaryotic SRP consists of a 300-nucleotide 7S RNA and six proteins: SRPs 72, 68, 54, 19, 14, and 9. The record is from Rfam by way of RNAcentral. Lineage: Eukaryota; Metazoa; Chordata; Mammalia; Chiroptera; Vespertilionidae.
UUUUUAUUAAAUUUAUUGAUGGUGACCUCCCGGGAGCGGGGGGCCACCAGGUUGCCUAAGGAGGGGUGAACCGGCCCAGGUCGGAGACGGAGCAGGUCAAAGCUCCCGUGCUGAUCAGUAGUGGGAUCG